Molecule: long non-coding RNA, 4415 nt
Organism: Biomphalaria glabrata
Lineage: Eukaryota; Metazoa; Mollusca; Gastropoda; Planorbidae
Exons: 2
Source: RefSeq, a predicted model, not a curated record
UAUAUAUAUAUAUAUAUCAAGGAAAUAUUUUCUAAAUUAAUUGAUAUUUGAAAACAAUGUUUUAUAUUCUAUAAAUAUCACUAUUAAAAUGAGAUCUGCCAUGGAAACAUUUUCUUCUUCUUUCACUGGUAAGAUUUAUUAUAAGUAGAUGAUAGUUACAAUGUAAUGAUUUAAUAUUAGAAAACAAAAGAAAAAAGAUGCUAACAUCCCAUGUGACAUGAAACAGCCAAUAAACUUUCAAAAUGUUUUGCUCACUUGCUCCUUCUCACUAUUAGCUCAAAUGUUGUUGUUUUUUUCACAAUUUAGUAAAAAAACUGUAUUAUGAGAAUCAUUGUUAAAAAAAAAAGAAGAUAUUAUGCAUUAUUGAUACUAAAGGCUUAUUUUUAUAGUUUCAACAUUGCUGUGAAGUAUAAAUUCUGCAUGUUACUUUAAAGUAGGAUCUUUAUUUUGUGAGGAAAAAACACAAAUUUCGGCUGACUAGUAAAAUUGGUCAUUAAUUUUCCAAGCGAAAGUGGCUUUAGAGAAAAUUUUGAGAUUGUGAGAUCUCAAUAGAAUAAUAUAUAACUUUAAUUGAUUAAGAUCCACCUGAAAAAUUCAAUAAUUUAUUGAGAUUUCUACAAAUGUUCAGAAUCUUUUCUUUAGGAUGUUUUUGUUUUUGAUGCAGAAAAAAAUAUUUUGGAAAGACAUUUACAGAUGUUUUUAGUUUUUCACCAUGUUUAAUUACUUGUGUUUCAUGGUUGUGAAUACUGGUGAUAUUGUUUCUUUUUGAUGUAAAUAACUCCAUUCACAAUAAUUCUAUUUUCAUUUCAUGUCACUCACUCCAUGUUUAUCUACUUGAGACUUUUAAUUGUACUAAUUAGAAGUUGUAAUUCCAACACUCAGCAUCUUGAUCUAGGAAACCACAUUUACAUGAUUCAUCGUAAUACAUCAGAAUCAUAUAUUUAUUCAUGUUUCGUUUGAUUUAUUUGGAUAAUAAACUUAUGCUUUUUUUGUGAAAAGCGAUAUUAAUUAGUACUAUUAAUGUAUUUUUAUUUUAUUACUUAGUAACUUUAUAUUGUCUUUUAAAACAAACAAGAACUAAAUUUAUUUCUUUGUUGUUGGUCCAUUUGGUUGUUAAAACUUCCAUCUUGUUGGUUGCAAUUUUGCCCAUUUCUUUCUCGCUGAAAUCUGUUCUAUGUACUUUUUAUAACCUUUUCAUUUUCUAUUUAUUUUAAUUCCUGAAAAAUUCCAUUUUUUCCCCUAUCAGUCGUGUUAUUGCUGAUUGCUGGCUGUGUUAAAAAAAAUGUUUAUAACCUUAGCUUUAAAUGAUAGUGAAAUAUUUAUUUGUACUUGGAAAAUGUCCAUGUAUGAUUGCUGUUUGUUUGAAGGGAAUGCCAGGAAGAUAUAAUUUCUGUACACUUGUCCAUUAAUUUUCAUUUUCUAUAAAAAAACAAACAACAUUUAUGAAGUAUCGCUUAUUCAUUGUUUACAACUUUAUUCUUGGGAACUAAAAAAAAACAACAUGAGCUUGUACAAAUACAAACACAUAAUGCUGCAUCUAAAAAUGUAAUGUACAGUUGAAAUUUCCUUUCUUUUUUUUUGGUCUGGGAUUUUUCAAAGUUUGUGUUCUGGAUAUUAUUUGACAUUAAUCUGUAAAUUGUUUGACAGCCAAGGAUCAAAAGAUGCCAGGGGAAAAAAAACUACAUUUAUAAGAAUUCAUUUUCUUCAAUGGUCUUUACAUUCUAAACAAAAGGCCAGACUAUGAAUAAAGUUUUCACAAUUGAUAUUGUUAAGUAUUUGUUGCCCUUGGAUAUUUCUAAAAAUACAAAAAUCCUUUACAUUAAUUAAGUUGAGCUAGAAUAUAGCUAUCAGAAUUACUUAAGGGUUGACUGAAAUCUGUGAUCUGAGGAAUAAUCUCUAAACCCCUUUAUGCAUAUUAGGAAUUAAUAAUUACUGUAACAUUCAGUGUUCUUUCUUCUCUGAGGCCUUCUGUACACUACUACUUGUACAACUAAAAAGUAAAGUUCAUCUUUCAGACCUUGUGAUCUAUAGGGCAGAUGAUGCUGUGUUCAUCUGUUUCUCUGGCCAACAGUUAACAAACUUGUACAACUGUCAUUAAUUUGUGGUCUCUGUUGUGUGUGAAGAGUAGAUCUAAAGGCCAGCAGCACCAAUUACUUGUACUUGCAGGGACUUUAAGCCAAAAUCAUUUGGUCUUAUUAUAAAGUCUUUGUGUUAAAAAAAUGUCUCUAUUUGGUCAAAAAAAAGUUGAAAUGACAAUCCAUUGUGCUGUUUUUUGAGUAUGUAGAUGAUCCCCCCUUGAGAACACUUUUGUUUUGCUCAUUCUGAACUGCUGGCUUUAAACAACCUCAUGUAUUAGUAGUAGCCUUUCAUAUCUGUUUGAUUUCAUACCCACUUUAACCCUUCCUUUACCUCUGCUGAGUUUCUAGUAUUUGGUUAAAGGUUAAGUUGUGCUUUUUUAUUUUCUGAUAGUGUGUAAAUGACAAUCCCUAAGUAAAAAAGUAUUAAUUAUUCUAUUCCUUCAAAUAACAUGAAAUCCAUUUUUUUUUAUUUAAACAGAUUUUUACAAAUGAACAAAAUAAAACAAUGGUUUUAUUGCCUUGAUCCCAAAUAAAAUAUUUUGUAUUCAAAUGCCAAAACAUAAGUUUUUUGUUUGAACUGUUUAUGAUGUGUGGCUAAAUACAAACUUAGUAAAUAUUGGAGUGCAAGGCAACUUACCUAUAUAUCAACACAGCAUCAUUGUCACUAUGACAGCAUCCAAACAACACUAAUAUUAAUGCCAAUAACUUUAGGUACCAUUCACUAUAUCUAUGCACUUGAACAUCCAAAUAUAAAGUUGUUGAAAAUGUUUUACUCUAUAAAAUACAAGUUUUGAUGAAUUACAAGUUUCUAACAUGAUAGGGUUGCAACUUUUAAAUGUGUGUGUGUGUUGUUUUGCUGGUUUUUUUUGCUUGCAUUAUUUUUUUUUACUCUAGUUCAGAUAUCUGUAGGCCUACAUGAGUCUUUGGUGUAUUUUUUUCUUACAUAUUUUAUUUUCAUGCUGGAAAAAGAUGUUCUUGUAAAAUUUUUUAUAAAAUUGAUUUUUUUUUAAUAUAGUGAUGUAGUUAUACCUAUGAUGUGUAUGUAAUCUCUCUAUAAAUUUUAAAAUUAGCUCUGUGAGAAAAACUAAACCUGUUUUUUUAGUGUCAUUGACUUUUCUAGAAAAAGUACAUACGUGGGGAUGACCCUUGAGACAUAUUGACACCUCAUUUAUGUCUUUAAGCCAUCACAGACGUAUUCUAUUUUUAAAUGAAUCUAUGAAGCGUAAAUGUCUUCAAGUGAAACUCUAUUUGGGUUUUGUCGUAGUGAGGAUAGAUCAAUGUUUUGUAUGUCAAGCUGUACUAGCUUAAAUUUAGAAGAAUAUGAUUCCUAGGAAUUUUGUUUUAUUUUCCAUCAAAGAAGUGUCCUGAUAAAUUGAGAUUGUCUUUAUUAAUUUUCAACUUAAGGUACAAUUUUUUUUAUACUGAAACGAAUGAAACACAAUAUAAUAAUAAUAAGCAGCCAUAUUUGUUUUGAGUUGACAUACAUUUAUAUACAUUUGUUUUUACAAGCACUGAGCCUUGCUUUUUUUUUACGUCUUUAGUUUCUUAUGCACACUGUCAAUUUUCUUAGUUGAUCAGGAGAAGCUCAAGAUUGUCCUCUCUUCUAUCUGUUCUUUAGGUCAGAGUAAUUUAAACAUUGGCAGGGGUUUACAUUAGUCAUUUUGGAAAUCAUCAUCCCUUCAUUAUCUUUCCACUCAGGUGGCUUGUGUACAUGCUUCAUAAACACUUAGGGUAAAGACACAGGUGUAACAAAUAUUAAACUGUCCGUCAUGUUAGAAAACAAUGUACUUCAAGUACUAUUAGAAAUGGGCAAAUGAGUUAUUUUAAACUUAAGAACAAUCGCUGUGUGUUUGAGACAUGGCUGGAAAUGAGAAAUUAGAAACAAUGAUUGACAGAUCAGACUGGCAGGUAAGGAACUAGAAUUGAUCGUGGGGGAGUAAAAAAUAGUUUAAGAAUGCAGGAGCUAUGUUUCAAACUGUAAACUGAAUGAAACCUUUCAGAACAAAAAAAAAUUGUUCAAUUCAGUGGGAUAUAGCACACACAAAAGUUUCAUAACAAUAACAUUGUUGUUGUUAUGGUAGUUUGUGCUAAGAAAAAUGUUUUUUGAAGAAUUGUAAUCUUUGAGUUAACACUAGGUUAGAUGUAACUACUAUUUUAGCAUUGUAAUAUUUUCCUAUAUAACUCACUUUUUAAGUUUCAUUAUCUACUCUGAAUUUUCACCAACAUUCUUGUGCCUAUAUUAUGUUUAUAUAUUCACUGUGUUGACAUUUUGAAACAUUCCAUCAUACAAUAGAUAAUUUUAUGUAAAGAUAAAAAUUAAAUUCCAUGUACCCAGUU